GACGAACGCUGGCGGCGUGCUUAACACAUGCAAGUCGAACGGAAAGGCCCUGCUUUUGUGGGGUGCUCGAGUGGCGAACGGGUGAGUAACACGUGAGUAACCUGCCCUUGACUUUGGGAUAACUUCAGGAAACUGGGGCUAAUACCGGAUAGGAGCUCCUGCUGCAUGGUGGGGGUUGGAAAGUUUCGGCGGUUGGGGAUGGACUCGCGGCUUAUCAGCUUGUUGGUGGGGUAGUGGCUUACCAAGGCUUUGACGGGUAGCCGGCCUGAGAGGGUGACCGGCCCCAGUGGGAGUCAGAUACGCCGCAGAGGCGUGCGGCCGGCGGCAGUGGGACAGAUUGCAAGACGGGCGGCAGCCGGAGGCAGGCAGUGCGCGUGAGGGCUGACGGCCGUCGGGUUGCAAGCCGCUUCCGCGUGGGAGGAAGGAUGGGUGACGGUAAGGAAAAAACAUCCACCGGUUAACUACGUGCCAUCACGGUAGUUAAUAGAGAGGAACAGCAUACCUCCGUC
RNAcentral lists this ribosomal RNA (509 nucleotides) under uncultured bacterium. RNAcentral describes it as "partial 16S ribosomal RNA". It matches the Rfam family "Bacterial small subunit ribosomal RNA", at positions 33 to 541 of the family's 1533-position model. The record is from RNAcentral.